Long non-coding RNA from Vidua chalybeata, 756 nucleotides. RefSeq lists it as uncharacterized. The record is from RefSeq and is a predicted model, not a curated record. NCBI's taxonomy places the organism in Eukaryota, Metazoa, Chordata, Aves, Passeriformes, Viduidae. The transcript is spliced from 3 exons.
UCUCCCCUGGUGCAGCUUGAGGCCAUCCUGUCACUGGUCACCUGGGAGAAGAGGCUGAUCCCAACCUGGUACAACCUCCUGUCAGGGAGCUGUAAAGAGCAAUGAGAUCUCCAAUGUUCACAUAAAGAAAAGAAUCAAAUAUUGAAGACAAGUGUGUCUAAAUAUUUGAGAUAAUCUGGCAUAGAAAGUAUUAACAGGAGUUUCUUCAGUAGUUUCUUCCAAUAAGAAAAGGCAGCCUGAAGGCAGAGACAUGCUAAUUAAGGGAAGGAGAGCUCCCCAAGAGAUCUUAUAACAGCUGAGAAACACGAACAUGCCUACAUUUGUCUCUGGCCUUCAUUAUAAAAGAGUUGGUCUGACAAUCAAACUGAAAGCUUGAAACUCUGUGGAAUGUCCUGCACAGUAAAACCUCCUGUGCAUUGUUACAAGAACCACCUUGCCCCACACUCAGUGUGUUUCUCUCACCACUUGGGACAAGACCCAGAAAGGCAGCUGGGCCAUCCUGGCUCCAGCAGGGAGGUUGUCAUUGCUGUCAGCUCGGGAGUCUGUGUUCCAGUCCAUCAUCUUCUGGCCAAGACUGUGAUGCUCUUAUAAACAAGGAGACAGAUUAUAAACUGACUUGAUGUAGUGUAAUGAUGGAAGUGACAUACAUGGAAACAACACCUUCUCUCUUCUGGCUGUGUCUCAUAAUCUCUCUCUGCCUUCCCCCAUGAUUUGAUUUUUUCUAUUUAUUCUCUUCCAUAUGUUUCUGUAUAAUGG